AAGACCUUGCACUUUUGGAGCGGCCGAUGUCUGAUUAGCUAGUUGGUGGGGUAAUGGCCUACCAAAGCUUCGAUCAGUAGCUGGUCUGUGAGGACGGCCAGCCACACUGGGACUGAGACACGGCCCAGACUCCUACGGGAGGCAGCAGUGGGGAAUUUUGGACAAUGGGCGCAAGCCUGAUCCAGCCAUGCCGCGUGAGUGAAGAAGGCCUUCGGGUUGUAAAGCUCUUUCAGCCGGGAAGAAAAGGCUGCGACUAAUAAUCACAGUUCAUGACGGUACCGGAAGAAGAAGCACCGGCUAACUACGUGCCAGCAGCCGCGGUAAUACGUAGGGUGCGAGCGUUAAUCGGAAUUACUGGGCGUAAAGGGUGCGCAGGCGGUUUUGUAAGUCAGAUGUGAAGUCCCCGGGCUUAACCUGGGAACU
RNAcentral lists this ribosomal RNA (423 nucleotides) under uncultured bacterium. RNAcentral describes it as "bacterial SSU rRNA". It matches the Rfam family "Bacterial small subunit ribosomal RNA", at positions 207 to 622 of the family's 1533-position model. The record is from RNAcentral.